Molecule: long non-coding RNA, 4594 nt
Organism: Oncorhynchus tshawytscha (Chinook salmon)
Lineage: Eukaryota; Metazoa; Chordata; Actinopteri; Salmoniformes; Salmonidae
Source: Ensembl
GACACAUUUGCUGAGAACCAAGAGUUGGGCUACAAGACAUUGCAGACUACCAGGAGUUGAAAUGGGUCUUCCAGACGGGCUGUUAGAGUUCUUGGGGCCAGUAGGGUGGGGGGCAGCAGCGCUGGUAGGGGUGGUUAUAUUGAUUCAAGUGGUUAAAAAGAACAGAGAGGAGAAACGUUCUAUUUCUCCAGGAACUCACAAGUGUUUUGGUGACGAGAGAACACGGUUGAAGGAGGAAAAGUCGAAUGAAGCUUCUGGAAGAACUGGAAACUCUAGGAAGAAGAGAGUAGAACCGUGCCGUCAUGCCGAACAUGAGGAUGACAUAAUGAAAGGUUACGGCCUUGGACAUGUUCACAAAUAUAAAGAGUGGAUUUUGACACAAACAAUGCUAAGCGGAAAAGAUGAUUGUGCAGUAAAAAUGCUGGAGCAAGCUUUUAUCAUGGGUCAUCCUAUAGCUUCCCAGAUGCUCAGACAUGAUGCUGGAUUUGUUGACGCCGCACUACGUACCGAGGGUAAAGUUGACAUGUCUGAUGAAGGCACAAGGAGCUACUACAGAUAUGGCUACACUGACCUGGUCAAUGAAUAUCUCUACAAGGGGAUAAUCAACGAUGGUCAAGCAAAAGACCUCAAAAUAUGGGUGAAAAGAGAGAUGCACCUGGACCGGGAUACCGCAGAGUAUAAGGAGAUCCUUGAAGACAUUAAUGAUUUCUAUGACUGUUUUCAUAUGUUGUAGGCUUACUCUUACAGCAGUAUCCAAGGGGAAAGAAUCAAAAGUAUACCUUCCAUCACUUAUCGAUCAUAUUUUGGAGUAGCCUACAAUUUCAUGAAUUUCAUGUUGAUAAUCUCAUCUUAUAAUUAUAAUGUUUUGCUUUACAACAUGAUUGGUUGAUCCACAGAUGUUGCAAUCUCUAUUGCACUCCACACUGCCCUUUCCCACCUGGACGAAAGGAACAUCUAUGUGAGAAUGCUGUUCAUUGACUACAGCUCAGCGUUCAACACCAUAGUACCCUCAAAGCUCAUCACCAAGCUAAGGAUCCUGGAACUAAACACCUCCCUCUGCAACUGGAUCCUGGACAUCCUGACUGGCCGCCCCCAGGUGGUGAGGGUAGGUAGCAACACAUCUGCCACGCUGAUCCUCAACACUGGAGCUCCCCAGGGGUAAGUGCUCAGUCCCCUCCUGUACUCCCUGUUCACCCACGACUGCAUGGCCAGGCACGACUCCAACACCAUCAUUAAGUUUGCUGACGACACAACAGUGGUAGGCCUGAUCACCGACAACGACGAGACAGCCUAUAGAGAGGAGGUCAGAGACCUGGCCGGGUGGUGCCAGAAUAACAACCUAUCCUUCAACGUAACCAAGACUAAGGAGAUGAUUGUGGACUACAGGAAAAGGAGCACCGAGCACGCCCCUAUUCUCAUCGACGGGGCUGUAGUGGAGCAGGUUGAGAGCUUCAAGUUCUUGGGUGUCCACAUCAACAACCAACUAGAUUGGACCAAACAAGCCAUAAGACUCCUGAACAACCAAAUGGUUACCUGGACUAUUUGCAUUGUCUGAGUUACAGUUCAUAUGAGGAAAUCAGUCAAUUUAAAUGCAUUCAUUAGGCCCUAAUCUAUGGAUUUUAAAUGACUGCGAAUACAGAUUUGUAUCUGUUGGUCAAAGAUACCUUUAAAAAAUGGGCCUCAAAAUAGGCCUUAUUUCUGUGCAUUCAAAUUGCCAUUGAUAAAAUGCAAUUGUGUUCAUUGUCCGUAGCUUAUGCCUGCCAUACCAUAACCCCACUGCCACCAUGGGGCACUCUGUUCACAAUGUUGCCAUCAGCAAACCGCUCGCCCACAUGACACCAUACACGUGGUCUGCGGUUGUGAGGUCAGUUGGACGUAGUGCCCAAUCCUCUAAAACCACGUUGACGGCGGCUUGUGGUAGUCGCCUUCUGUACUCCCUGUUCACACCCGACUCCAACACCAUCAUUAAGUUUGCACAACAGUGGUAGGUCUGAUCACCGACAAUGAUGAGACAGCCUAUAGGCCAGGACAACAAACUUUCCCUCACUGUGAGCAAGACAGAGGAGAUGAUUGUGGACGACAGGAAAAGGAGGGCCGAACAUGCCACCAUUCACAUCGAAUGGGCUGUAGUGGAGCAGGUCGAGAGUUUCAUGUUCCUUGUUGUCCACAUCACCAACAAACUAACAUGGUCCAAACACAUCAACACAGUCCUGAAGAGGGCACAACAAAACCUUUCCCCCUCAAAAAAGAUUUGUCAUGGGUCCCAGAUCCUCAAAAAGUUCUACAGCUACACCAUCGAGAGCAUCCUGACCGGUUCUAUCACAUCCUGGUAUGGCAACUGCUCGGCCUCCCACCAUAAGGCGCUACAGGGGGUAGUGCGUACGCCCAGUACAUCACUGGGACCAAGCUUCCUGCCAUCCAAGACCUAUAUGCUAGGCAGUGUCUGAGGAAGGCCCAAAAAAUUGUCAAAGACUCCAGUCACCCAAGUCAUAGACUGUUCUCUCUGCUACUGCACGGCAAGCGGUUCCGGAGCUCCAAGUCUAGGUCCAAAAGGCUCCUUAAUUAACAGCUUCUAUCCCCAAGCCACAAGACUGCUGAACAAUUAAUUAAAUGGUCACCCUGACUAUUUGCAUUGACUCCCCCCUUUUGUUUUUACACUGCUGCUACUCACUGUUUAUUAUCUAUGCAUAGUCACUUUACCCCUACCUACAUGUACAAAUUACCUCGACUAACCUGUACCCCUGCACAUUGACUUGGUACCGGUACCCCCUGUAUAUAGCCUCGUUAUUGUUAUUUUAUUGUUACUUUUAUUACAUUUUUUCCUUUAGUUUAUUUAGUAAAUAUUUUCUUAACUCUAUUUCUUGAACUGCAUUGUUGGUGAAGGGCUUGUAAGUUAGCAUUUCACGGUAAGAUCUACACCUGUUGUAUUCGGUGCAUGUGACAAAUAACAUUUGAUUUGAUGGUAAAAGAAAUUAACAUUAAAUUAUCUGGCAAAGCUCUGGUGGACAUUCCUGCACUCAGCAUGGCAAUUGCACGCUCCCUCAAAACAAAAAAUUAAAUUUUAGAGUGGCCUUUUAUUGUUCACAGCACAAGGUGCACCUGUGUAAUGAUGUUUAAUCAAAGUAAUGAUGUUUAAUCAGCUUCUACAUAUGUCACACCUGUCAGGUGGAUGGAUUAUCUUGGCAAAGGAGAAAUGCUCACUAAUAGGGUUGUAAAAAAAUAUGUGCUCAACAUUUGAGAGAAAUAACCUUGUGUGUGUGGAACACUUCUGGGAUCUUUUAUUUCAGCUCAUGAAACAUGGGACCAACACUUAACAUGUUGCGUUCACAUUACAGUGUACAUUUACAGAACUUCUGAUCAUUUUCUUGCCUUAGUACCCGUUCAUGGACUAUUAACACAUUGUUUUCAUCAGAAGAGAAAUGUGUGAAAUUUCCCGGCAAUCAGUAAAUACUACUGGGCAAAAUUCUAAAUCAUCCCAUCAGUGUGAUACUAUGUAAAAUAUAUGGGAAGAUCUAGACAAUGGGGACUGUCUAAUUGUUAUGAUUUAGAUUUUUUUUUUGCAGUAUUGCGGAUAUGCAGAGACGCAAACAAUUAAGUUGGGUUCCUUUUCAUCUCCCACAUUGUGACCUUCCAGUAUAGAGCUUUGCUUUGGUGUGGAUUUAGACUUAUAGGUUCAUAUCAGUAGUGUUUCUCCAUUGUAUUCACUUUUCCAUGUUCUAUUGUGAAUUGUGUUUCUGUGUAGCUAUGGAAAGUUUUUUUUAAACUAUCAGCGAACCAACUUUUGAAUUGAAUACAUGGAAUUGGAUUGUGAUGAUACCGAUGAAUGAGUCCUGCACACAAUGUGCUUAUUUUUUUCAAUGUUUUUACCAGGAAUUAUAUUUGAUUUCCUGUGUAUGAAAUUGUUUGGUGAAAUAUUUGCCCAUCAUUCCACACCUUUAGAUAGUUGUGCUUCCAAUUUUAAUCAUCAGGAUUUAGUGACCAAAAAAUAGAAAUAGAAAUAAAAUGUGUUGAUCUACUGGGAUUUUUAAAAUACUUUAACUUCCUGUUUUGUCUGCUUGGACUCGAGAGAUAAGUAUGGUUGUGUUAAUGUUCUUGCAGGCAGUCAUGUUCUUUUGAUGAAUUUACUUAUGUUUUGAGAAGGCAACUUCACCUUGAAAAUGGAUUUACUGUUUUGCAAAAGCCCACAAAGUUCUGUUUCUUGUGGAUUCUUGUUAUGAAAAAAAAUGCUUGUACGGGAUUGAGAUAGACUGUAAUAAAAUAUGAACUGUAGUACUCUAGUAAUCUAAAUAUUUCAAUAAGUAAGUGGAUGGAAAAAGCUUUCUGACCGCGACUGGACAGAAUAUAGUGGUCAGGAGGACAGGCAGGCUAGCUCUUACCAGCUCUGCAUACUGUAACUAUCCCAAACCUUCCACCUUCCAUGAAGAGUGCAGUUACAUGUUUUCACCUGUUGACGGUGCUGCCCACUUUGAUAGAGUGGGCAGCACCACCAUAGAGUAGUACAGUACAGUAUAGUACCAACACUAGUAUGGUAGAGUAUUACAGUAUAGUAUAGUACCAACACCAGCAUGGUAGAGUAGUACAGUACAGUAACAAC